GCCGGAGUGGCGGAAUUGGCAGACGCGCUGGAUUCAAAAUCCAGUUCUCGUUAGAGAGUGUGGGUUCGACUCCCACCUCCGGUACCA
Molecule: transfer RNA, 87 nt
Filed under: Lentisphaeria bacterium
Lineage: Bacteria; Pseudomonadati; Lentisphaerota; Lentisphaeria
Description: tRNA-Leu
Rfam family: tRNA
About the family: Transfer RNA (tRNA) molecules are approximately 80 nucleotides in length. Their secondary structure includes four short double-helical elements and three loops (D, anti-codon, and T loops).
Source: RNAcentral